GCUAUCCUACGGGACGCAGCAGUGGGGAAUUUUGGACAAUGGGCGCAAGCCUGAUCCAGCUAUUCCGCGUGUGGGAUGAAGGCCCUCGGGUUGUAAACCACUUUUGUAGAGAACGAAAAGACACCUUUUAAUAAAGGGUGUUGCUGACGGUACUCUAAGAAUAAGCACCGGCUAACUACGUGCCAGCAGCCGCGGUAAUACGUAGGGUGCGAGCGUUAAUCGGAAUUACUGGGCGUAAAGGGCGCGCAGGCGGUUUAGUAAGACAGAUGUGAAAUCCCCGAGCUUAACUCGGGAAUGGCAUAUGG
RNAcentral lists this ribosomal RNA (305 nucleotides) under uncultured bacterium. RNAcentral's name for it is "bacterial SSU rRNA". It matches the Rfam family "Bacterial small subunit ribosomal RNA", at positions 333 to 630 of the family's 1533-position model. The record is from RNAcentral.